GGUGAAGAACGUAGCGAAAUGCGAUAAGUAAUGUGAAUUGCAGAAUUCAGUGAAUCAUCGAAUCUUUGAACGCACAUUGCGCCCGCCAGUAUUCUGGCGGGCAUGCCUGUUCGAGCGUCAUUUCAACCAUCAAGCCCCCGGGCUUGUGUUGGGGACCUGCGGCUGCCGCAGGCCCUGAAAAGCAGUGGCGGGCUCGCUGUCACACCGAGCGUAGUAGAUUUUAUCUCGCUCUGGGCGUGCUGCGGGUUCCGGCCGUUAAACCACCCUUUUAACCCAAGGUUGACCUCGGAUCAGGUAGGAAGACCCGCUGAACUUAAGCAUAUCAAUAAGCGGAGGA
This 337-nucleotide unclassified non-coding RNA is filed under the name soil metagenome. RNAcentral's name for it is "partial contains 5.8S ribosomal RNA, internal transcribed spacer 2, and large subunit ribosomal RNA". The stretch from base 3 to 120 matches the Rfam family "5.8S ribosomal RNA", at positions 37 to 154 of the family's 154-position model. The record is from RNAcentral.